This 531-nucleotide ribosomal RNA is filed under the name Clostridioides difficile. RNAcentral describes it as "partial 23S ribosomal RNA". It matches the Rfam family "Bacterial large subunit ribosomal RNA", at positions 1152 to 1689 of the family's 2925-position model. The record is from RNAcentral. Lineage: Bacteria; Bacillati; Bacillota; Clostridia; Peptostreptococcales; Peptostreptococcaceae.
AGUGAUCCUGCGCCGAAGAUUUCCGGGGCUAAAACUUACUACCGAAGCUACGGCAUCAGUAAUGAUGGGUAGGGGAGCUUCCCAUACGGGUUGAAGCAUGACCGUAAGGACAUGUGGACAGUAUGGGAGUGAGAAUGUUGGCAUGAGUAGCGAGAUGUGGGUGAGAAUCCCACAGGCCGUAAACCCAAGGUUUCCAGGGGAAGGUUCGUCCGCCCUGGGUUAGUCGGGACCUAAGCUGAGGCCGAAAGGCGUAGGUGAUGGACAACAGGUUGAUAUUCCUGUACUACCGAUAACCGUUUGAGAGAAGGGAUGACACAGUAGGAUAAGCUAAGCACACUGUUGGUUAUGUGUGCCCAAGCAUUGAGGCAGUCAAAGUAGGCAAAUCCGCUUUGAUAAUGCUGGGAUGUGAUGGGGAGCGAAAUUUAGUAGCGAAGUAGCUGAUUUCACACUGUCAAGAAAAGUCUCUAUCGAGGUUAAAGGUACCCGUACCGCAAACCGACACAGGUGGGUGAGGAGAGUAUCCUAAGGCCA